AGGAUAAUAGUUUAAUAAAAACACUUAAAUUGCAUUUAAAAAUUAUCUAAAUAGAUUUAUCUU
RNAcentral lists this transfer RNA (63 nucleotides) under Hypothenemus sp. BMNH 1039837. RNAcentral describes it as "tRNA-Ala". The record is from RNAcentral. Lineage: Eukaryota; Metazoa; Arthropoda; Insecta; Coleoptera; Curculionidae.